This 56-nucleotide transfer RNA is filed under the name Amazona aestiva (blue-fronted amazon). It matches the Rfam family "tRNA", at positions 10 to 63 of the family's 71-position model. Rfam says of the family: Transfer RNA (tRNA) molecules are approximately 80 nucleotides in length. Lineage: Eukaryota; Metazoa; Chordata; Aves; Psittaciformes; Psittacidae. The record is from Rfam by way of RNAcentral.
GCUCAGUCGGUAGAGCAUGGGACUCUUAAUCCCAGAGUCGUGGGUUNGGGCCCCAU